Molecule: ribosomal RNA, 301 nt
Filed under: uncultured bacterium
Lineage: Bacteria
Description: partial 16S ribosomal RNA
Rfam family: Bacterial small subunit ribosomal RNA
Source: RNAcentral
CAGUCGCCGCGGGAAUACGUAGUGUGCGAGCGUUAAUCGGAAUUACUGGGCGUAAAGCGUGCGCAGGCGGUUAUAUAAGACAGAUGUGAAAUCCCCGGGCUCAACCUGGGACCUGCAUUUGUGACUGUAUAGCUAGAGUACGGUAGAGGGGGGUAGAAUUCCACGUGUAGCAGUGAAAUGCGUAGAGAUGUGGAGGAAUACCGAUGGCGAAGGCAGCCCCCUGGGCCAAUACUGACGCUCAUGCACGAAAGCGUGGGGAGCAAACAGGAUUAGAUACCCCUGUAGUCCCUGUCUCUUAUAC